This 355-nucleotide ribosomal RNA is filed under the name uncultured Fusibacter sp. Its description in RNAcentral is "bacterial SSU rRNA". It matches the Rfam family "Bacterial small subunit ribosomal RNA", at positions 1027 to 1382 of the family's 1533-position model. The record is from RNAcentral. Lineage: Bacteria; Bacillati; Bacillota; Clostridia; Eubacteriales; Fusibacteraceae.
AAUUGAGACAGGUGGUGCAUGGUUGUCGUCAGCUCGUGUCGUGAGAUGUUGGGUUAAGUCCGCAACGAGCGCAACCUUGUGUUUUAGUUGCAAACAGGUCAAGCUGUGCACUCUAGACAGACUGCCGUGGACAACACGGAGGAAGGUGGGGAUGACGUCAAAUCAUCAUGCCCCUUAUGAUCUGGGCUACACACGUGCUACAAUGGCCGGUACAACGGGCAGCGAAGGAGCGAUCCGGAGCGAAUCCUAAAAAGCCGGUCCCAGUUCGGAUUGCAGGCUGAAACUCGCCUACAUGAAGUUGGAGUUGCUAGUAAUCGCGAAUCAGAAUGUCGCGGUGAAUGCGUUCCCGGGUCUU